This 403-nucleotide ribosomal RNA is filed under the name uncultured bacterium. Its description in RNAcentral is "partial 16S ribosomal RNA". It matches the Rfam family "Bacterial small subunit ribosomal RNA", at positions 28 to 526 of the family's 1533-position model. The record is from RNAcentral.
GACGAACGCUGGCGGCGUGCCUAAUACAUGCAAGUCGAACGCAGUGGGGACGGGUGAGUAACACGUGGGUAACCUCCCAUCAGAGGGGAUAACACUUGGAAACAGGUGCUAAACCGAUACUGAUGGAUGGACCCGCGGUGCAUUAGCUAGUUGGUGAGGUAACGGCGGACCAAGGCCAAGAUCCAUAGCCUACGUGAGAGGGUGAGCGGCCAGACUGGUACUGAGACGCGGCCCAGAAUCCGACGGGAGGCAGCAAUAAGGAAUAUUCGGCAAUGGACGAAAGUCUGACCGAGCAACGCCGCGUGAGUGAAGGAGGUUUUCGGUUCGUAAAACUCUGUUGUUAGAGAAGCGGUAUCUAACCAGAAAGCCCCGGCUAACUACGUGCCAGCCGCCGCGGUAAUUC